UCGGGAAUUUUGGGCAAUGGGCGAAAGCCUGACCCAGCAACGCCGCGUGAAGGAUGAAGUAUUUCGGUAUGUAAACUUCGAAAGAAUAGGAAGAAUAAAUGACGGUACUAUUUAUAAGGUCCGGCUAACUACGUGCCAGCAGCCGCGGUAAUACGUAGGGACCAAGCGUUGUUCGGAUUUACUGGGCGUAAAGGGCGCGUAGGCGGCAAUUCAAGUCAUCUGUGAAAUCUCCGGGCUUAACUCGGAACGGUCAGAUGAUACUGCUUUGCUAGAGUGCAGAAGGGGCAAUCGGAAUUCUUGGUGUAGCGGUGAAAUGCGUAGAUAUCAAGGGGAACACCUGAGGUGAAGACGGGUUGCUGGGCUGACACUGACGCUGAGGCGCGAAAGCCAGGGGAGCAAACGGGAUUAGAUACCCCAGUAGUCCCUGAGCGGGCUGGCAAGGCGCAU
RNAcentral lists this ribosomal RNA (447 nucleotides) under uncultured bacterium. Its description in RNAcentral is "bacterial SSU rRNA". It matches the Rfam family "Bacterial small subunit ribosomal RNA", at positions 355 to 825 of the family's 1533-position model. The record is from RNAcentral.